UGGGGAAUAUUGCACAAUGGGGGAAACCCUGAUGCAGCGACGCCGCGUGAGCGAAGAAGGCCUUCGGUUCGUAAAGCUCUUUUAUAUGGGAAGAUAAUGACGGUACCAUAAGAAAAAGCCCCGGCUAACUACGUGCCAGCAGCCGCGGUAAUACGUAGGGGGCUAGCGUUAUCCGGAUUCAUUGGGCGUAAAGCGCGCGCAGGCGGCUCUUCAAGCGGAACCUCUAACCCCGGGGCUCACCCUCGGGCCGGGUUCCGAACUGGAGGGCUGGAGUGCGGUAGAGGCAAGCGGAAGUCCCGGUGUAGCGGUGGAAUGCGCAGAUAUCGGGAAGAAAACCGAUGGCGAAGGCAGCCUGCUGGGCCAGCACUGACGCUGAGGCGCGAACGCUGGAGGAGCGAACAGG
RNAcentral lists this ribosomal RNA (403 nucleotides) under Verrucomicrobiota bacterium. RNAcentral's name for it is "Verrucomicrobia bacterium partial 16S ribosomal RNA". It matches the Rfam family "Bacterial small subunit ribosomal RNA", at positions 355 to 776 of the family's 1533-position model. Lineage: Bacteria; Pseudomonadati; Verrucomicrobiota. The record is from RNAcentral.